Molecule: ribosomal RNA, 127 nt
Filed under: uncultured bacterium
Lineage: Bacteria
Description: partial 16S ribosomal RNA
Source: RNAcentral
GCCAUGGCUUCCUCUGAAGGUACCGUCACAUUCUUCGUCCCUUCUGACAGUGGUUUACGACCCUAGGGCCUUCAUCCCUCACGCGGCAUCGCUCCGUCAGGCUUGCGCCCAUUGCGGAAGAUUCUCG